CGGGGUGUAGCUCAGCCUGGUAGAGCGCUAGCUUUGGGAGCUAGAAGCCGGAGGUUCGAAUCCUCUCGCCCCGACCA
Molecule: transfer RNA, 77 nt
Filed under: Rhodospirillaceae bacterium
Lineage: Bacteria; Pseudomonadati; Pseudomonadota; Alphaproteobacteria; Rhodospirillales; Rhodospirillaceae
Also listed under: 2 other names
Description: tRNA-Pro
Rfam family: tRNA
About the family: Transfer RNA (tRNA) molecules are approximately 80 nucleotides in length. Their secondary structure includes four short double-helical elements and three loops (D, anti-codon, and T loops).
Source: RNAcentral